AUUUUUCAUGGGUUUUGUUUGGUAUUGUUUAAAGUUCGAAUUUUUGUUUCUGGGUUAGCUUGAGUUGAUUAUUUUUAAUAUUUUUGUUUUGGGUUUUGUAUUAGAAAUGUUAGUUGAUCUUAGAAGAACAAAGUCUUAUCUUUUGGCUUGCGGGUAGCGGGUUGACUAAUAGUGUUAGCUUUGGUUCUUUUGUUGUUAAUCUGUGACUUUGAGCUUCUUUCUGCUUGUUUAAGUCAGAAAAUUUGGGAAAUAAAAGUUGGACUAGAUGGAAAUGGAAGAGUUUAAUUUGACUUUCUUCAAUUUGUCUACUGAUGUUAUCUAAUUCUAACUUUCAUAGAUUUUUGGGACUUUCUAUUUAGGGGCUGGGAAUUAAAACUAGUUUUGUUGCUUGUA
RNAcentral lists this unclassified non-coding RNA (393 nucleotides) under Hevea brasiliensis (rubber tree). The record is from RNAcentral. Lineage: Eukaryota; Viridiplantae; Streptophyta; Magnoliopsida; Malpighiales; Euphorbiaceae.